UCCAGACUCCUACGGGAGGCAGCAGUGGGGAAUAUUGCACAAUGGGGGAAACCCUGAUGCAGCGACGCCGCGUGAGUGAAGAAGUAUUUCGGUAUGUAAAGCUCUAUCAGCAGGGAAGAAAAUGACGGUACCUGACUAAGAAGCCCCGGCUAACUACGUGCCAGCAGCCGCGGUAAUACGUAGGGGGCAAGCGUUAUCCGGAUUUACUGGGUGUAAAGGGAGCGUAGACGGCCAGACAAGUCAGAAGUGAAAACCCGCGGCUCAACUGCGGGAGUGCUUUUGAAACUGUUUGGCUGGAGUGCAGGAGAGGUAAGUGGAAUUCCUAGUGUAGCGGUGAAAUGCGUAGAUAUUAGGAGGAACACCAGUGGCGAAGGCGGCUUACUGGACUGUAACUGACGUUGAGGCUCGAAAGCGUGGGGAGCAAACAGGAUUAGAUACCCGCGUA
Molecule: ribosomal RNA, 445 nt
Filed under: uncultured bacterium
Lineage: Bacteria
Description: bacterial SSU rRNA
Rfam family: Bacterial small subunit ribosomal RNA
Source: RNAcentral